This 308-nucleotide long non-coding RNA is filed under the name Phoenix dactylifera (date palm). RNAcentral's name for it is "long non-coding RNA (PDAC_LNC005902)". Lineage: Eukaryota; Viridiplantae; Streptophyta; Magnoliopsida; Arecales; Arecaceae. The record is from RNAcentral.
GAUUUAAAUGAUUAUUGAGAUUUUAGAUACCUACAUGUUUCACGGCGCAAAUAGGAUCAAUCCACUCUUUGUUCUUCUUGGUAUGAGUUUUCUUAUAGAAUUCUGGAAAUUCAAGGUUUUCACAACCAUUAAACUCCGGCUGCAAAGUGUAAUUUAGAUUAGCAUAUAGCUACUACAUAAUAAUAAAACUAGAAUAACUGUCAGAUCUACUUGCAUAAAAGGAUUCCAAAAAUAUACUUGCAGCAAACUAGAAUAAAAAAUCUACUUGCAGCAAAUUGUCUAUUUUACAAUAGCCAAAACUAUCCCAU